Mustela lutreola (European mink) is the source of this 14594-nucleotide long non-coding RNA. RefSeq lists it as uncharacterized. The transcript has 6 exons. The record is from RefSeq and is a predicted model, not a curated record. NCBI's taxonomy places the organism in Eukaryota, Metazoa, Chordata, Mammalia, Carnivora, Mustelidae.
GUAUGAAUUUUUUUUCUUCUUCUCAAGUUUUUCACGUAGAAGAGAUACCGGGUAAAUUAGAAACAUGUUUGGGAAAAGAGUGAGCAGUAAACGCUGGCAUUUAAACAACACAAAAAUGCCCACGCCAGGCCACACGCCCAGGCGGCCGCGACGCACCCGGCGGCUGCGCAGCGCCCUCUGGCGGCGGCGCGCGGGCGCGGCCGUUCCCUACUCCCACGCUCGGAACCGGGGACAGAGCUGCUGCCCCAAAUCUGAGAAACAUUGGGGCAACUUUGGAGGAAGGGGAGGGGGUCAUGGAAAGCGUCCGACGCUGAGGCCCCCUUUUUGUGGUUCCGUGGCUGGCACUGAGGCCAAGAGCCCAGGGAAGGGGCCCACGUAAAAGAAAAACCUUUGUUGCUCUUUGAAUGACCGCCUGAAAUUCUACCAAUGCAGCAUCUCCCUUAACCUGCAGGCUUUGAUUCUUUUUAAAAUUCAGGUUUCUCGAGGAGGAGGGGUGACCCUUCAAAACAAGGGCAGAUGACAGGCUCUGUCAAAAAAUUACCAACGUGAACACCAAAAAGACAUGAUUGUACCAUAAUAUGUACACUUUAGAUGGUGAGGACAUUUAGUAAGUAUCAUUUAAUCUUCCCCUCUGUAGUGUUUGUUGCCCGGCAUCCUUUGGUACUCUGAACAGCGGUGUUAUUUUAGGCUGUGCCUCCCCCAGCGGCCAUUCCCUCCAGAUCAGUUGGCUCCCGCUUUCCUUGUCCCUGGUACAUGCUAAACCUUUCUCCCUUCUGUCCACUUCUCACUCUCAGGGCAGCUCCUCUAGUUUAGGCUCCUGCAGCUUACUGUCUGGAUGCCUGCUACCAGGGAGGGAGUGGAACCCUGCCUCCCAGUGCAGGAUCCCAGGGAGAGUGGAAGGAGCUCCCCUCUCUGCCCAGCUGCAACCCUACUGUCCCUCCAAAGAGACUGUCCCCUCUUACUGCUUAGGGAUUGUCUUCCCAAAGGUAGCAGAGUACUCCUGCUUUCAGCUUCCUCACUGAUGAUCUGUAAUUUCUCUCCAGAAAAGUACUGUCAUUCCUCCACCUGGUGGAAGUGGGAAAAGGGUCCGUUCUCCCCCAGCAUCUUCCUCUGAAUCUCUUUUCCCUGCCUGAAGGAUUUCUACUUACCCAUCCUGUCUGGUGGGAAUUCCUCCAACCUCAUACCUUCCCUCUCUUCGAGGUAUUUCUUGCUGUAUUUAUUGCUACCUAACAAGUUGCUCGGUGGCGGCUUAGAACAAGAAACAGGCAUUUAUUUAUUUAUGGCUCUGUGGAUGUGCAGGUGGUUUCUAGACAGGCUCUGCGGGGCUCGCUCAUGUGUCUGUGGUGAGGUGGCAGGUCACAGGAUAGUUCAAGACAGCAGGGUGAUGGGGAUGCUCUGCCGGAGUGAAAGGGUGACAGGGCCCUGCGUCUCUUAUCCAGCAGGCUCGCCUGCUCGGGCUUCUUCCCAUGGCAGCAGGGUUCCGAGGAUGGGGAUAGCCAAAACUACAAGGCUUCUCGAGGCCUAGGCUUGGAACUGAUACAGCAAGAGCAAGUCACAAGGCCAGGUAUGUGCUCAGAGUGGACUUCAUCUCCUGAAAGAAGGCGCGACAGAGUCCUGUAGCCACGUUUGCAAACUGUCACGCUUCCCCUCUCCCUUCCUGGGGUGAGGGACCCAUAGAAGAAGCACGCCUCAGGAUAUUACGUCCCUUAUAGACUCGUUGGACAGGCAGCACAGUUCUGAAGCACACAAGCCCAGCAGUCCACACGCCCUGCCUCACGUCCUGACUCCAUAUUGAUCAGACAUGUGACCUCGGAAAGUUAUCUUUCCUCUCUGGGACUCAGUUCCUAAUUUGUAAAAAUGGGAAUUAUAAAUAUUAAAUUGAAUUUCAUCCAUACUAAGUACUUAGGUGGUGUCUGGCACAUGAUAAGUGUUAUGCCAUGAGGUGCCCACUGGCUGCCCAUCAGGACAGCUGAGGCCACCAGCACCAUCUCCCACACCAGCUCCAAAACCCCCUCCCACCACUGCCGACACCAAUAGCCCCCAGUUGGAAGCUCUGCUGGUGGCACCUGGUGUCUUUGGUGCCCCACGGAGAUGCCAGUGAAAUGGCCUUGUAGGUUUUCACGAGCUCCUUCACUGAAGCCCAUCUUUCUAGAGCUGGCUUACCUUAGCUCUUAUAGGGGUGUCUGGGGGGGCGCCAGAGUUGAUCAGGCUCAGGUCCUGAUACUGGCGUUCUGGGAUCAAGCCCCAACAGGGAGUCUGCUCCCCACCCCCCAUGCGCUCUCACUGUCUACAAAAUAAAUAAAUAACAUCUUAAAAAAAAAAAAAAUCAGCUCUUACAGACCCAACGUAUGCUUCCAGCUCUUCUUCCUGAGGGAUUUGGACAAGUGAAUUCUUCUCUCUGCAUUUCAGUUUCCUUGUCUGUAAGAUGGGGGUACCAAUGGCCGCCUACUUACGAUGGUUCAACUUAGAAAUUUUUGACUUUACGGUGGUGCAAAAGUGAUAUACAUUCAGUUGAAACUGUACUUGAGGGGUGCCUGGGUGGCUCAGUCAUUAGGUGUCUGCCUUUGGCUCAGGUCAUGAUCCCAGGAUCCUGGGAUUGAGUUCCAAGUUGGGCUCCCUGCUCUGCUGGGAAGCCUGCUUCUCCCUCUCCAGCUCCCCGCGCUGCCUCUCUUUGUCAUAAAUAAAUAACAUCUUUAAAAAAAAAAUGAAACCAUACUUGGAAUCUUGAAUCUGGAUCUUUUCCUAGGCUGGUCAUAUUCAGCGCCACUCUCGGCUACAACUCCCCAUGGGCCACGUGACCACAAGCGUCAACAGCCGACACACUUACCACCAUUCGGCACCCACCCAACCGUGCAGUUUUCCACUUUCAGUACAGUACUCGUGUGAGAUACUCAACAGUUUAUUAUAAAGUUAGCUUUGUGUGAGAUGAUUUUGCCCAACCGUAGGCUUGUGUAAGUGUUCUGAGCACAUUUAAGGCAGGCUGGGCUUAGUUGUGAAGUUCGAUAGGUUGAUGAAUUAUGUGCAUUUUUGACUUAGGAUGUUUUCAAUUUACAAUGGGUUUAUCAGGGAUUAAUCCCAUCUUAUGUCGGGGAAGAUCUGUAAUAGCAGUGCCUUCCACAGAGCAUAUAAAGAAUAAUAUGAAGAAAUUAAGAGCCUGUACUUUAAAAAUGUUGGCACCCACAGGACACAGAACCUGUGUUUUCUGUGAAAUUGCCUUUCCCAGAGGUGCUGAGAAAUGGCCAUGCACGAAUACUUUUCUCCCAAAAAAGUCCUUUGUCACUCAUAGAACCUUCCUUUCCUGAAGUCCACCAAGAUGGGCCAGGAUGCCAGGAAACCAGCCGAGCUCUUCCUACCAAUGCAGGUUUAAUGUCUGGUCCUUCCACGACACCUUCUAAGGGCCUGAUCUUUAUUUCAUUUUCAGCCUAGUAUCUCUAACCCUUGGCAUACGACUUGGCAAGGUAGGUGUUCAAUAUCUAUCUGAUGAGAGAAAGAAAGAAUGAAUGAGGAUGUAGGAGAGGAAAGACUGUCUCUCCACCCCCCUAGAUUCAACAGCUGGGUCUGUGAAAUAAAUCGGCAACAGACAAUGAACAGGAGAAAAGUUAUACACAGUUAUUUAUUUUGACUGUUACACGGACAAGGGCAUCACAGAGGGCGAAAAAAAAAGCGAACACCUGGAAAAGAGAGGACACUUGAAAGCUUAUAUACCAUCUUCGUAGAGAAGGGGAGGGAGAUGCAGGUCACUUCGGGGAGAGCAAAUGAUUUGGGGAAAGAUGAGUGGGCCCUCAGAAGGACAGAUGGGAGGUUAUGAGGGUGUGACAGCGUCUGUCUAGGGGUGCUGUGGACUUGUAGCCUGCUCUCCUGGGAGAGGAGUCAGUCUUCCCUGGUGGAUGAAGCCCCCAGGUUGGGGAUUUAGGACGAUGGAGUUCCUUUCGGAGGCUCUGUCUUUAGGCAGAUUAGGGCAGUUCAGGGAGAACCUCUCCCCACAUCUGCUGUUUUUCAAGUGCCUUCAGCUCAAAAGGAUCAAUACACCCAAGCAGCAUAUUUGGGCCGAUAUGUCCUGAACUCCUGCAAGGACUUCAUUCUGAUAGGUUUUUUCCCCCUGGGAUGAAACCAACUUCUUCUGGAUGACUUCCAAACCAAGUCGCCCUGUAACUGAACUAACAUGAGUUCGCUCCUUGGUGAGUCACAGACAGAAAUUACACCAGGUGGAGUUGUCGCACAAAGGAGACUCUAUUUGCAGCAAAUAAGGAGAUCACAGGGAAUAAUUUCCAGAGCCUUGACUCCCUGAGCAAGAGUGAAUGGGUUCCUUUUAUUGAAGUUCGGGAUGAAUAUUCAGAAAGAGGAGCCUUGUCAUUUUCCGUAGAGGGGGACACAAGAUGGUGCCGUGAACCUUCAGGAAACAGGCCUGUACCUGUCCUGUGGGUUAUGUAAAUGAGGCUUGUGCUCCUCCUUGGGUGAAGAUUUUAGUAUUAUAAUGAGGUUAAGGUAACCAUCAGUCAUUCUACGGUUCCCUCCAAGGUCCUUCUGCACAGCUGUGUGUGGGGAGUUAAGUUCAGCCUGGUCUGGGUGGUCUGGGCCUGCUGGGAUUCUCUGUCUGGGCAGCUGUUGAUGCUUGAAGGGUAGUUUUUGUUUCCAUGCCAUCAUGGGAUGCCAGGCCUCUUGGGUUUUUUGCCUGAGCAAGGAGAUAAAGAUGGAAAGAAGAGCUUAAGGAAAAAUGUGGGACAAAGGUCAGUGGAUACAAGCAGGUGAGCAGUAAAGGUCAGGUCUUAGGGUCCAGCUGGUGACGACCCAUUAGUGCAGAAGGGAAGAUGUUUCCAAGAGUUUGGAGGGAGUAGGGAAGUGCUCCUCAACCUGACCGCCAGUUAUAGUCCCUGGGGAGGCACAGGCCCACCCCCCAGAAAUUCAGCUGUAACGGGCCCAGGAGCAGCCAGGGAGUCCAGAAUUGGGAGAAAGCCAUGCUUUGUGUGCAUUCGUCAUUUUUGCCAUGUCUCUCCCAGAAUCUGAGUCUUCAAAGCUGACAGUGAAGCAUUCCAGAUUUUGUGGAUGGUUCCCAUAGAGUACAGACGACAGCAGAAAAUGAAUAAUGCUGGGCAGGGAUUACUAAGGACACCACAAAACAAGCUGCAUAACUGUUGCUGAACUCCUCUGAAAGCGAGAUGUGUGUCCAUCUGGAAACACAUUGAUUGACCCACACCCGCAUGAGAAGUGUGGAGAACAGCUGCCUCCAGGCUUCCCCGCGGCCCUUCCCAUCCCUCCUCCUGGUCCUCCCUUCUCGCCCUCCAGAGUGAGAAAGCAUCCUUUGACGGUGCUCAGCAAACCUAGAGUGGGGACAAGGGACUCGUGCAGUUGAGGAAGGAAGGGACGAAUCACAGACACUACCCUCAAGGAGCUUCUGAUUUCGUAGGGACGUACGGACAGGGAUGUAGCGUCUCCGCCCCCGCCCCCACCUCCACCCCCGCGCAAUGGCUGUAAACAGGACUCCAGGUGGUCUGCUAUCAAAUCUCAGAACUCCUCAAAGCCAUAAAACAGGCAAACACUCAAAGAAGGAUCUGUGACCUACACUCGAUGUCCAGCCUCUGGCCACAUCUGGUCCACGAAGCAUCUGUGCUGUAGGCUGGCUGGAGCCCUGGUGAAAGGUGGCUUUUCUUCCAUCCAGGCAGCUAUGAGGAAAGGUACAGCCAGGAAGUUGCCAUGCCGACGGGGAAUUCAGUUCUUAAAAUAGUCCACUGUGCUGAGGCAUUUUCGGGGUGGGUGGGUUUGGAGGGAGGGGGUUCGGGAGAGGGGUGGGGAGAGAUGAUAAACUAAUGAGUCAGACCCAAUUGGUGACAGCUGUUCUGUCAUCCCUCUGGCAAUGUGAGGUGGGAAGGGGACAGCUCUCUAAAAUGAGGUAGCAAAGAGACAUUUUCCAUUCAAAGAACAGGAGAGCUCUGUUUCCUCACACUAUUUUCCUGACAGAAGGAAAUUCCCCUCUCUGUGGGUCCACCCUGCAGAGAAUAGAUGUAGGCACGCCUCACUCACACAACGCCUGCAGGACUGGGGGACCUGUAGGAGUGGGAGGGGCAGGCUCUCUCACACGGCUGCCUCAUGGCUCUGUCCACAGCAGGCCCAAGUCUCCUCAUCAUCACAGGUAGCAUCAUCAUGGGACAGUAGGGAACAAAAUUCAUCACCCCAAAAUGUGUCUCUUCGGUACGUAGAUUAUUGUAGGCUGAUUAUUUUUAAGAAACAGAAGGCUCAGGAAGAACCUUCAACCUUCCCCUCAUGGUUUACAACAAUUUAGAUAGACAACUUCCUCCAGCAAGGGAGCUAUCACCAUAGGUAACCACAGCAUAAUAUGGACUGAAUUGUCUUUCUUCCCUUUAUAGUCCCAGAUCCCUCCCCACUUCUCCUUAACUCUGGGUGUCCUAUAAUCCUCAAUUGCCUGACUUCUUGUGGGCCUCAUUUUCCUAUGGAGACCCUUAGUAUGUACUUAAAUUUGAUUUUCUUCUGCUAAUCUAUCUCAUGUCAAUUUAAUUCAUAGCCCAGCCGCCCCCCCCAAAAAAAAUCCCUUGAAAGAUAGAGAAAAUUUUUUCUUCCGCAACAGGGCCAAAAUGAAAAUAUAUCACUAAAAAUGUCUUCUAUCCAGGCAAUCAACCAUCGAUCAACCAUCAAUUGAUUAACCAAUCAAUCAACUAUUAUUAUUUGAGCAUUUCCUGUCACUUCUCUGUUGUGCCCUCAAUGCCUGGAAGAUGAGCUGAGUACUUAUUUUUUAUUGCGGUAAAAUAUAUAUAACAUAAAACUUACUAUUUUGACCAUUUUUUAACUGUACAAUCCAGUGGCAUGAAGUACAUUCACACUGUUGUACAACUAGCCCCACCAUCCAUCUUUGGAACCUCUUUAUCAUCCCAUAUACUGAAAGUCUAUACAUAAGUCUCCAUUCUGUACCCACCCCCAGGCCCUGUCAACCACUAUUCUAUGUUCCAUCUAUACAAACCGCCUAUUCUAGGAGUCUUGUAUAAAUGGAAUCAUAUGGUAUUUGUUCUUUUGUAUCUGGCUUAUUUCACUUAGAAUAUCUUUAAGGCUCAUCCCUGUGGAUAUGCAUCAGAAUGUCAUUCUCUUUCAAGGUCAAAUAAUAUUCCAUUGUGUGUAUAGACCAUGCUUUGUUUAGCCCAUGAAUGGACAUUUGGGUUGUUGCCACCUUUUGGCUAUUAUGAAUAAUGCUACUAUGAACAUGGACGUACAAAUAGUUGUUGAGUCCCUACUUUCAGUUCCUUUGGUGGCAAAGUCCAUCUUCAGAAAGAGAACAAGGAGAAGAUUGAGAAUGCAAUCUCGGGGCACAGAAGACACUACAGCAGCAUUUUCUUACCUUUUCCAUUCCACCAUCCAAAGUCCAUCUUUGAGAAAGCCAGCAAGCCCCUUGUCUCCUGUCUUCCUCCCUCAUCCAUCUGCUCGUACUGCCUAUUGUCAUGAGGUCAUUCCCACAGGCACCUCUAGUCCCAGAUCCAUCAUCAAGGACAAUGGGCAGCCUUAAGGUUGAUGGUUAGUUCUCAUAUCUUUCAGAGUUGAGCAUUAUUAAAAUAAAACCAAUGGUAUCUUUUAGCAUGGUUUCAAUGUGUGUUUGUAGUAAAGGACUCAUUUCCCACCAGGAGCAGAGAAUGGAAAGACAUGGUGUGUGGCAUAUCACUAGCAGUUUUUUGGUUGGGAAUGGGUACAUGGUCUCAGUUAGCUCAGGCUGAAGGGAAUGAAUUUUAUUUCAUGGCUGGGCAUGGUUCUAUUUUUGCUUCGGUGUUUUGUUCUCUAGAAGUGUCCCACUUGAGGCCAAUUGAAAGGAAGCUGGGCUAUGGAUGCAGCUGACAUCUAGGAAAGAAGGCAGAACUGAGAGAAUAGCAGAAUAUGGUUCUAGCACCCUGAUCAUGCAAUGCCUGAAGCCUGAACUACCCCAGUUACCUCUGAAGAAGCUAAUAAAUCACCUUGUAUUUCAAGCCAAUUUUGGCAGGGCUUUCUAACGUUGGGGCCAAAAACAUUCUAACAGAUGCAGUCUGCAUGGUGUUAGGAUUUUGGUUUUAACCCGAAGAAGAGUGAAAUAUGUUUUGAGGUUUCUGCACAGAGAACCCAGGGAGAGGGCUCAGUCAGAUCUGCACUUCAAAGCAUCUCUUUGGAAACGGUUAGUAGGAGUUGGAGCGGUUACAGUUAGGGGCCUUAUUGUGUUAGUCCAGUCCUAGUAAAAGGUUAUAGAGGAGAGAAGAAGAGAUCUGGAAGAUUUUUUUAAAAAAUAUUUUAUUUAUUUAUUUGAGAGAGAGAGAAUGAGUGUGAGCAAGAGAGAGCAUGAGAGGGAGGAGGGUCAGAGGGAGAAGCAGACUCCCAGCUGAUCAGCGAGCCCGAUGCAGGGCUCGAUCCUGGGUUUCCAGGAUCAUGACCCGAGAUGAAGGCAGUUGCCAAGCGACAGCCACCCAAGUGCCUGAGAUCUGGGAGAUUUUAAGGAAGUUGGGUGACUUUGGCAGAAGUCAUUAAGGUAGUAAGGUUGACAAGACUUGGUGAUGGUUUGAGGGGAGAGGAUGGCCGUGUCAGGGGUGACCUCUCUGUUUGUGACUUGCUCAGCUGGAUGGAUAGGGCUGCGACCCUCAUGACAGAAUUGUUGUUGAGGAAAAAAGAUUGAACACUGACAGUGUCAGGUUGCUGGAGAAACUGGACUUCAGCGGGAGAAGCAAGAGCCAACGUUAGCUUAGCGCUAGCCGUGAACGGAGUAUGCUUUACCUGUAUAAACUCAUGAGUACAAUGGCCUCGUUGCCACUUUACAGAUGAGGAAAUUGAGGCAUGGGGAGAUUUAGUAACUUCUCUCAGGCCUAUACAAUCAGCUAGGAAAUGAGAUUUGAACUCAAGCAGUUUGUCCCCAUGAAUUUCCCAAGGAAUAUAUGCGCCAAGAAGGUUCAGAUGAGAAACAGCAGAUAAUACAGUACUGUUUUCUGGGGCCUGAGACCCCACCUCCAAUGCAGAGCACUCUAGGAAGCUGGAUUUUAAUUCCUGGCCCAGCUCCCCUUUCCUAAAUCAGUUAACACCUUGAUGGCUUCUGACUAAGCAGUCUGUAUCCAUAUCCCAGCCCCAGCCCCCUUCACAGAGCCACCUCGGGAGGCUACUUGCUUCCUCUGUGCCUGGAGCUGAUCUGUCCCUGCUGCCCAGGGACCACAUCUUCAGACUGCUGCUGUCAGCAGGGAGGAAGGGUGCCAGGCAGAAGGAAGGCAUGGGUGAGCCCUCAGAGGGCCAGCCUACCCUGCGGUCACCCAGAAAGGCAGAAAAGAGAGAGCCAUCCUGGGUGCUCCAGGUCCUUGGAAAGCACCGCCUUUCGAAGUUUGUGCGCUGGAGUCGAUCCGUUCUCGGCACCUAUAGGGAUGUACGUCUUCAUCGUGGCUUCUCUUGUUAACACUCAGUGCCAGGCAAUGUCCUCAACAGCAGCCUUCCGGUAACACAGAGUGGUUUCCUGAGCCCUGUCCUAGGGCAUCCCUCGGUGGAGAGGACUGCUGGGCACUGAGACUACUGAAUGGGGGGGAGCUGGACACAGCUCUGCACAGGACCAUUUCAUCGUCUUCUUCAUCACCGUCAUCAUAGUGUUUCAAUUUAUUAAGUGAAUCUACUGAACUUACCAUUUAAUAUCGUAACCCCAAAUGUCAGAUGGGGGCUCCCUUUCCCUUGAGAUCUAUAUGAUAGGUACACUGAUAGCCCCCCAAACACAUAGACACUAAAUUCCCAAGUCAGUGGCUAUCUAAAAGACACACCCUCCAUCCCAUUUCUACUAAAUUGAUAGCAAGGAAGAGGUUUUUGUUUCUCAUAGACUUUUCUGCCCCAUGGGCAGCGCCUCCUUCUCCUCUUCCUUCUUCUUCUUCUCCUCCUCCCCCUUCUUUUUCUUUUACGAUAUGCUUCCAUUAUAUGUAUUUUUUUUAUUAGUUUCAGAGCAGAAUUUAGUGAUUCAUCAAAAUGCAUAGAACACCCAGUGCUCAUUACAUCAAGUGUCCUCCUUAAUGCCCACCACCCUGCUACCCCAUCCCCGACACACCUCCCCUCCUGCAACCCUCAGUUUGUUUCCUAGAGUUCAGGGUCUCUUAGAGUUUGCCCCCUUCUCCAAUUUCACUUUGUCUUUCUCUGACUGGUUUAUUUCGAUUAGCAUAAUACCCUCUCGUUCCAUCCGUGUUAUUGCAAAUGGCAAGAUUUCAUUCUCUUUUUCUUAAGAUUUUAUUUAUUCAUUUGCAAGAAAGAGAGAGAGAGAGAGUGAACGAGAGAGGGGAGGAGCAUGAGUGGAAGGGAGGGACAGAUGGAGAGAGAGAAGCAGACUCCCUGCUGAGCAGGGAGCCUGAUACAGGGGUUUAUCCCAGGACCUUGGGAUCAUGACCUGAGCUGAAGACAGAUGCUUAACUGAUUGAGCCACGAAGGAGCCCCAAUAUUUCAUUCUUUUUGAUGGCUGAGUCGUAUUCCAUUCUCUGUGUGUGUGUGUGUGUGUGUGUGUACCACAUCUUCUUUAUGCAUUUAUCUGUUGAUAAACAUCUGUGUUCUUUUAUUUUUUUUUUUUUAAGAUUUUAUUAAUUUGACUGACAGAGGCAGAGAGGCAGGCAGAGAGAGAGAGAGGAGAAAGCAGGCUCCCCGCUGAGCAGGGAGCCCGAUGUGGGGCUUGAUUCCAGGACCCUGAGAUCAUGACCUGAGCUGAAAACAGAGGCUUUAACCCACUUAGUCACCCAGGUGCCCCGACAUCCAUGUUCUUUCCGUAGUUUGGCUAUUGUGGACGUUGCUGCUAUAAGCAUUGGGGUACAGGUGCCCCUUCAAAUCACUAUGUUUGCAUCCUUUGGAUAAAUCCCUAGUAGUGCAAUUGCUGAGUCAUAGGGUAGUUCUAUUUUUAACUUUUUGAGGAAGCUCUUACUGUUUUCCAGAGUGGCUGCACCAGUUUGCAUUCCCAACAACAGUGUAAAGGGGUUCCCCUUUCUCUACAUCCUCACCAACCCCUGUUGUUUCCUGAGUUGUUAAUUUUCCCAUGGGCCCCCACUUCUAAGAGUGGUUUCAUUUGUUCUGUCAAGUCAUGGCUGAUAUAGAACUCAGUGCUGCAUUGGUUUCCACAGAAGUGCCCCUCACACAGACAGCCCUGGGGAGGUAGACUCUGCUCUGACCACACUGCCUUAUUCUCCCCUCUGCAGUCCUCACUGCUGGGGACCUUGUGAAACUGAUCAGAGUCCCUGCUUGUUCUGCGGCAGGCCAGCCACAAGCCACAAGCCAGAAAAAUCCACAGUGUCUUCAGGGAGGACACUAGGCUUAAGAGACACUGAUUCAUUGAUGGCUCUUCUGCAUAAGAGAGACUGGAAAUUAUGUCAUUAGCAAAUAGUCCAGUUGAGCGUUUCCUAGGUACUGGGGCCCACAAAGCGGUGUGGUCCCUCUGCCCUGAGGGCUCACCAUAGAGGGAAGAACAGCACACACUGCUAAUGGCCAAGCAGUAGACAAAGGCAGGUAUUGCUGAAUAUGCACAAAGGGAUCCCAAAAGGAAGAGUCUCUUUUGGGAUGGCAAGGUGGGUCGGGAAGGCUUCACAGAAGACGUGACACUUGAGUGGGUAAAACCAGAGAGUCGUGGAAGUGCCUGGCCCCCUCUGAGAGUAGGGAGUGGUCAGCACAGGACAUGUGCUAAGUGCUGGGACUGGGUGGGGGGAGGGUCCAGGCUAUGCUGAAUGUGUCAUCCCUCACCCAGAGGCUGUAGGGAAUGGCUGGGUACCCAGCAAGGAUUUAGCUUGACUCCUUGUGUCCAUUCCUCCUUCUUCCACACCAGGGAGCAGCAGGGAGUGGGGCUGGUGAACAUGCUCAAGAUGUUUGCUUCCUUUAAUCAGCCCUCCUGCACGACGCUGACAUUCUGGCUCCCUGGAGUCUAAGAAGAAAGAAAAGAGUGGAUUGAAAAUGAGAAAAUAGUCGUAUGGAGGAGUAAAAAGCAGCUAGAAGUACAACACUCAUUUGGAAAUGGAAUGACACAUGAGAUAAAAAUCCUAAAUAAAUAUCUUGCAUGGUACUAAUUGCAUUUUAAAAGCUGCCACCAGAGAACAGAUAAAACGAUGUUGUAUUUCAUUAGUGGCUCCUUUAAUUCUAUGGUAUUUGCCAGCAAGCCCUAUUAAAGCACUCUGUAAUUAAAGACCAGUUCUGGGUCCUGUAAUUUAGAACAUUAUCAAAAUAUGGCAAGUGGCUGGAGGUGAAGAGAUGGAAACAAACACACUUUCAUGAGGUCCUUGUAGAUCACACAGCAUGUGAAUUUUAAAAGCUCAGCUAUUGUACCACCCCUGCCAGAAGGGUCAGUUUACAUCACUGUUUUUCAUUUGAUGGGCGAUCAGUUAUAUUUUUAUGAUCCUACAGGAAUGUGGAUGGAGAAGUAAAUGGGUUCUUUUUUUAAAUGAUUUUUUUAUUGAGAUAUAAUUCUUAUAAUAUGAAAUUACCACUUUAAAGUGUACAAUUCAUGGGUCACCUGGGUGGCUCAGUCAGUAAGCAUCUGCCUUCGGCUCAGGUCAUGAUUCCGGGGUCCUGGGAUUGAGCCUCAAAGUGGGCUCCCUGCUCAGUGGGGAGCUGCUUCUCCCUCUCCCUAUACCCCUCCCCCUGACUGUGUUCUCUCUCUGUCUCUCUCUUUCAAAUAUACAAAAUUAAAAAAAAAAAAAAAAAAAGUGUAGGGGUGCCAGGGUGGCUCAGUGGGUUAAAGCCUCUGCCUUUAGCUUGGGUCAUAAUCCCAGGAUCCUGGGAUCAAGCCCCACAUCAGGCUCUCUGCUCAGCAGGGAACCUGCUUCCCCUCCUCUCUCUACCUGACUCUCUGCCUACUUGUGAUCUCUGUCAAAUAGAUAAAUAAAACUUAACCAAAAAAAAGCAUACAAUUCAGGGGUUUUAGUGUAUUCAAAAUGUUGUACAGACAUUACCACUAUCUAAUUCCAAAAUAUUUUCACCACCCCUACAAGAAACCUAAUACCUGUUAGCAACUGCUCCCCAUUUCCACCCACCCAGCCCCUGGGCAAGCAUGAAUCUAGUUCCCUAGAAGGAACUUCUAUCAGUUCUUUGUGCAUCAUUCCAGAAAUACUGCAUCACAGAGGUUCUCAAACUUUCCUAUAGAUAAGAAUCAGCUAGAGGGCUUAUUAAAUCAAAGAAUGCUGACCAACCCCUGGAGAUUCUUCUCUGAUUCAGAGGUUCUGGAUUUGACAUUUCUUAUGAGUCCCCAGGUAAUGCAGAUUCUGCAUUCAGGGGCCGUACUCUGAGAAUGACUGUUCCAGAGUAUUCAUAGGAACUCUUUCCAUAUGUAGCCCCCCUUUCUGAAGUCACUUAGUAUCUGUUGCUGACAAUGGAAAUGUCCCUAAGACACCAUUGAUAUGGCACAAUCCCUGCCCCAGUGCCUUCUCUAUGCUGCUUUCUUUGCCUAAGAUACCUUCAUACCUGACCUCCACACAUCCGAGGCCCAGCUCAAAGGCCAUCUCCUCCAGGCAGUCUUCCAUGGUGCUUUCCCUAUAUGGAAGAAAUUGUCUACUCCUUUAAACUCCCAUAGGAAUGUUUCUCUGUAUCCUUCUAAGGGCACCUAUUAUUUACUAGAACAGAAUGCUAAAUGGGGCUCUUUCUGCUUUGUUUUUCAUAAUUUUUGUUGAAGAGAGAUUCUAAAGUGGGUUUAAGAUAUCUUCAAAUGCAGAAUAUAGGUUUCAAGACCUUUGGAGUUCCCCCGAAAGGUUUCCUGGGACAAAGCAGUCCUCUAAGCUUAGCGUGGGGGAAGGUGAGAUCAUAUGAGGGGUUGUCACCUCCUUCCCCUGAGCUCAGAGAGACUGGACUUCAGUGGCUGCUUGAGAGCUCUAGGUGUGCUCUCAACAGUUGGGAGCCUCUGUGGCCUGGAGCCAGACUCAGGCCUGUCUGAGAGAGCGGAGGUGGCCUGGACUGAGCAAGGAGGGUCAGUGUUUCUUCUAGACCAGGGAAAGUCUCCAGGGCAGCCAAUGCGGCAACAUCUGAAAUCCUACCCAAUGUGGCUGGGGUAGUAGGAGGCUGCGAGGGAGGUGAACCAGAUUCCAGGCCUACACUGUGACAGACUCCUGGGAACUACAGAGACGCCCCCAGUUUGGGGGAUCGCUGAGUAACACAGGUGAACCCGAGAGUCACCUUUAGGAACCUUCCACCCAGAGGAAGCCGAUGUUUGCCAUGAGGGCACCACCUCGGAUUUUGCUCUUUCUCCCGGCGGCCAGGGACCUCAUCAGCCGGAUCGUGGGAAGAGUGGGUGGGGAGAGCGAAAAGCUUCCCCCUGCCCCCACCACCCGUCUCCGGCAGCCAGGGAGAUGGAAGAAAAUGUAAGCCAAAGUUUGGGUUAUUAUAUAGGACUGGACAUGCCACAGACAGGAAACUGUGGUUGUGCCUGAAAGGGGCCAUUUCCUGAGAGCAGCCAGUCUGUAGCCCCGCUGGGGUUUUCGUUCCUCCGACGGUUUACUCAUGCUGGUUUAAAAGGCAAGGCACGGACACCUGGGUGGCUCAGUGGGUUAAAGCCUCUGCCUUCAGCUCAGGUCAUGAUCUCAGAGUCCUGGGAUGGAGUCCCGCAUUGGGCUCGCUGCUCAGCAGGGACCCUGCUUCCUCUUCCUUCUCUCUCUCUCUUUCUCUCU